GAUUUUAUGACUGUAUGAAAAUUUAAAGAUUAACUCCAAAUACAAUUGUAUUCACUAAAAUCUACAAGAAAGGUUUUUCACCAGCACACGUCACGUCCAGCAGUUGGCCAGAAGUUGCCCGGCUUCUCCCUGCAGGCUCAUUACCCGUGCUCAUUGCGGGAGAUCCCACCGCCACCAUCAUGGAAAUGCUGAUUCCAACUUUUCCCUCCGUCCGUCCGUUCAUCCGUCAUAAAAAAAACGGUCGAGGUGACGCUCCAUGGACCGCACCGGAAUAUUUCAUUGGCCCAUUCGGAGCUGUCCUUGCCGAAAAUUACACUCCCACCGUCUCUCUCACUUUCUCUAUCUCUCUGGGGUAAGAGUGAUGUUUUCCCUAUACACGACAACCGACAACUGAUAAGGAGAAACUCGGCGGUGUGUUUGAAGAUGAGAUUUGAA
This is a long non-coding RNA of Culex quinquefasciatus (southern house mosquito), 435 nucleotides long. RefSeq lists it as uncharacterized. The transcript is spliced from 3 exons. Lineage: Eukaryota; Metazoa; Arthropoda; Insecta; Diptera; Culicidae. The record is from RefSeq and is a predicted model, not a curated record.